GUCGAGAAUCUUCCGCAAUGCGCGAAAGCGUGACGGAGCGACACCGCGUGAUGGAUGAAGUCCUUCGGGGCGUAAACAUCUUUUAUAAAGGAGGAAAUUUUUGACGUUACUUUAUGAAUAAGGGGCUCCCAAUCUCGUGCCAGCAGGAGCGGUAAUACGAGAGCCUCAAGCGUUAUCCGGAAUCAUUGGGCGUAAAUGGUGCGUAGGUGGUUUGAUUAGUCUCCCGUUAAAACUUCGAGCUUAACUCGAAAAGAGCGGGGGAAACGGUCAAACUAGAGUAUGUGAGAGGUGUGUGGAACUCAUGGUGUAGGGGUGAAAUCCGUUGAUAUCAUGGGGAACACCAAAAGCGAAGGCAGCACACUGGCACAUCACUGACACUGAGGCACGAAACCUAAGGUAGCGAAUGGGAUUAGAAACCCCGGUAGUCC
This 428-nucleotide ribosomal RNA is filed under the name uncultured bacterium. RNAcentral describes it as "bacterial SSU rRNA". It matches the Rfam family "Bacterial small subunit ribosomal RNA", at positions 354 to 796 of the family's 1533-position model. The record is from RNAcentral.